CCCUAAGAAGGCAUGGCUACAGUUUCCCCUACAAUUCCCCUUUUAGUCUAAAAGAGGAUUAAAACUUAACAGUAUAAAGUAUCCAAAAUUAACAAUCAUAAAGGUAAAAUAUAAGAAGAUAUAUACAUAUCCCAACCUCCCUGUCAUUUAGGGAUCAGCUUUUUUGGCCAUUUCAGACUACUGGCUAUUUUGGUCCAUACAGUUGGUCUGUGUUGCCUGCUUCCUGCUGAGCAUCUCUGUUAGAUCUUCCUGCCUGAGACCUCUGUUUCAUCUUGAGCCAGACCUGAAGAAAAUAUCUUUUUCUUUAGACCCUUGGGAAGCUGUAGUCUAAAAGGUUCUCUCAGUAAACCAGACAAGCCUUGCAGUAUUCUUGAUACUGUGUCAUCUUUUCUACUAGGAACUGGCCUGUCCAUCUGACUCUUAACUUACAGGACACAGUGAAUAUGGUCUUUUGUAGCUUUCAAAGUUGAGUUAUAGGCAGUUUCCUGGCCUGGACUUUUGGGAAUACUUGAGAUAUUCUAUCUUCAAAUACAGCUACCAUGUUUAGGAAAGACUAUAUGAAGUCUCUCACAUCUCACAUUAGCAGCCUAACUCAUCUCCCAGCAAUCAACCAGCUAGUGUGCAGACUAGCAAGGGCUCUUUCCCACCCAGCCAAGUGUUUUUGUAUAACUCAUCCAUCCCAGACAGCAACGUGAUAUUCACCUGUGAGAACCACCAGUGAAUCCAGGCAGCUUACAUAACUAUGAAAGAUCAGAAUAAAUAUCUGUUUUGAGCCUCUUACUUUUACUGUUUUGUUACAUGUCAUUAGAACAGGCCUUAUAAAAGGCUUUGAGAAAGGGACCAAUACAAUAUACCACCAAUUUCCAAGUCAGCUGUGGAUGUAUCAGAGUGGAAGGAAUGUGUUAAUCACUCAGACUUACGUGCUGUUUCCUCUCGUUCUUCUCUGUUCGUCAGUUCAGGCAAGUCCACAUCAGUGCAGACACUCUCAGUGCCCAUUUCCUGAUUCAAACUUGUCAUUCCUUCCAAUCAGAAGGGAUAGAAAACCAGUCUCAAAAUGGCUUUAGUAAUAGAGUCAGAUAAUUGCAGGCAGGCAUUUCCAGCUGCAGAAAAAACUUUGAUUAUGGACUCACAGCACUUAUACUUUUUCUAGAUCUCUUUCUUCCUUGGCUCCUCUUUGUAGCUUUCUAUACAUCUUUAGACUCCCUGCAGAUUUCAACAGCGGCAAGUUUCACAUAGUAAGAUGGUCAGGUGUGAAUUCUGGCCCUGCUCCUUGAUAUCUGGGUCAUGGGGCGUGAGUCCUCAGCUACUCUGGCUUUAAUAUAAACUUCUGUAAAAUGGGAACAAUAAACAUAGACCCCAUGUAGUUGCUAUAUUAAAUUAGCACACACACACACACACACACACACACACACACACACACACACACACACAAAGAAAUUCAAGCAGUGCCCAUGAUAUACAGCAGUAGAGUCAUAGUAGUUGUUUAUAGUAAUAAUAACAUCAAGCAUAGGAAAGAGAAUCUGCAAGUAUCAUUUCCCAGAGGGUACUCAGAUUCUCACCAGAUUUCCUGAACACAUUAUGGGGUCUCAAAGGAAGACUGACAAUUUAGCUCAAAAUAACUCAGAGUUCUAACCUGAGAGAGGGAAGGGAGUCAAGGGUGAGGAAUGUGUAACUCUGCUAAGAAGGGUGGAGAGACUAUUCUUGGAAAACAGUUCAGAUCACCCAGUAAGAGAAACUCAGUGUCAGAUCUUAUUACCAGACCACUGUACCCAGCUUGAGAGCACCUUCCAUCUUCUCUCAAAGGCAACUGAAAAGAGCUUCUGUUGUGAAACAAGAGAUGUCUUCUUGGUCUUCUCAGCAUCUCCCUGUGUAGCCAUGUGUCCUUGCCUACAAGGGGCAUCCAAAUGACUCCAUGCUGUCAUUAUGACUGUGGAUACAACUGGAUUUGUGUUUUCCAGAACAAAUCUGGUUCAUGCAAUCUGUAGCCCAUAAAUCCUUUCCCUGUGGAGUAAGAGGAAAAUGCCACACUACAAAUGAUACAUGUUGUUUCUUAGUCUCAAUGAAACAUUUCUCUCUCUUGUACAUAAUUAAUUGUUAAUUGAAAGCAUAAUGAAUUAUAGCUGCCUAUAAUUAAUUUAGCAAGAGAUUUUGUUGAAAUAUGACUAUGAGUCUUUCUCCAGACUUAUCUUGUUUUAGAAAUCAGAGGGAAAGUUGUGCACAAAUUCUUUCACAGCCCAGUGCGUGUUAAGCAUCACAGAUUGGUAGGGUGUGGGAAAGGUGUGAAAGGCAGCACAAUGAAAGGAUGGCCUCCACAGGGACAGCAUCUGUCACUGGAGCUAUCUGUCUCUCUGGCAAAGUUACUUGGCUCAGGUCUGAGGGAGACAGCCAUUGUUGCCAGUAGUCACUAAAAGCCUCAAAAAGGAGCUGAGGAAUUGCUUCAUGGCUUAAGCUCUUCAACUGGGUUAUUUUCAAGUUAGAGGGAGAAGUGUCCUGUCAGAGCAAAUAAAUCUGUUCUCUUCUGGAUGUCAGAUUGGGACAGGAGGGGAAAUGAUCUCCAGAUCACAAAUUAUCUGAGUGUCUCUGCAUUGGGUCAGUUGACCUCAGAUCCUAGCAUAAAUGUUCCUAAUAAUAAACUCCACAGUGAGUAGGACCUAUGCUGAAGGUUUUAUGAGUUUACUAUAUAACAUGUCUCAAAGGUCGGAGAGGGAUAAUUGACAGUUCUCUUAGGACAUUUGAGCUCAGAUAGCUGAUAUUCUCUUCCAGAGAAGCCUCUAGAACCACGGACUCACUCCAUUCUCUAGCAGCUUCAUUCACUCUCAGAACUUCAAAACAGGGCGCUGGGCCAAGAAGUAUAGAGAAAAUUCUUUUUCACCAUAUUUUAUCAAUAGUAUGCAAUUAAAAUGUCUUUGAAUUUAAGCUAUCAGUAUCAUUUUUCUCCCUUUGUUGAUUCCAUGCUGAUUAUGUUCUUAACUUACAAAACUCCUUUUGUGGUCAAUUGUAUUCACAGCCAUUUUCUCCCUGCUCAGUCUCAUUCUCACACACUCCUCCUGUCCAACUGGAGGCUCUGCCUGGUACUCACCCCCUUCUCUCAUCAAUGCAAGCUGCUCUCCACCACAGUCUGCACUCAUCAUCACUGCAACAUGUCUUCACUCCCAAUUGCAUCUUUUUCACAUCUCCACAUCAUUAUUUUUAUUAUUCAUAAUAGAUUCUUCUCUCAUACAAUACAUCCAGACCUAAGUUUUACCUACCUCCACUCCUCACAAGCUAUCCUCCACUUUUCCUCUCCCCGAAAACCACUUCACCUCCAUCUCCCUUAAGAAAAUAGCAGGCCUCCAAGAGACAAAAAACAAAUAUGAUCAAAAAAGAUACAAUGAGACAAGGAGAAAGCCCUCAUGUCUGAGCUGUAUAAGGCAACCCAAUAGGAAGAAAAGAGUCCCAAGAGCAGGAAAAUUAAUCAGAGUACCCUUUCCUCCUGUUAGGAGUCCCACAAAAACACCAAGCUGUCAGCCAUAACAUAUAUAGAAGACCUGGUGCAGACCCAUGAAAGCCUUGUGCUUGCUGCUUCAGUCUCUGAGAACCCAUAUGCCCUGCUUAGGUGAUUCAUUGGGACAUGUUCUCUUGGUAUCUUUCAGGACAUCUGAUUCCUACAGUUUUUCCUCCUUCUCUUCCAUGGGGUUUCUGAGCUAUGAAGGGAAGGACCAGGUAGAGACCUUCAAUUUAUACUCUGUCUGCACAAUGUCCUGCUGUGGGUCUCUGCAUCUGCUCCCAUCUGCUGCUGGAGAAAGCCUCUCUGAUGAUGACUGGAAAGGCACCAAUCUAGAAACAGACUCGAUCUCAUCUUGGAAACCACAGAAGUUGGAAAGAACUCAGAACCCUCCUAGAGAGGAAACCAACCUCGAAGUCUCCAUAUAGUCAGAUAACAAGCAGGAGAAGAGUGGGCAGCUGCCAUGUACUGAGGAAAAACAGAGAUGCAGACCCAACAUUCAGAGACACCCUCUGAACUGUACCUGGAGGAGAAUGGACAUCAGCAGCCUGAGAUGUAGAAGAGCCACACAUUCAACUGACUUCAACUGGAGACAAGCAGUUGAAGUGAUUGGAGGUGUAUUUACAGGCCAGACAUAAUAGAGAAGGAAAAAAAACAGAACAUAACAAUAAAACUCUACCUAACAUUUUGUU
Cricetulus griseus (Chinese hamster) is the source of this 4176-nucleotide non-coding RNA. The record is from RefSeq and is a predicted model, not a curated record. Lineage: Eukaryota; Metazoa; Chordata; Mammalia; Rodentia; Cricetidae.